CCUACGGGAGGCAGCAGUGGGGAAUAUUGCACAAUGGGCGCAAGCCUGAUGCAGCCAUGCCGCGUGUGUGAAGAAGGCCUUCGGGUUGUAAAGCACUUUCAGCGGGGAGGAAGGCGGUGAGGUUAAUAACCUCAUCGAUUGACGUUACCCGCAGAAGAAGCACCGGCUAACUCCGUGCCAGCAGCCGCGGUGAUACGGAGGGUGCAAGCGUUAAUCGGAAUUACUGGGCGUAAAGCGCACGCAGGCGGUCUGUCAAGUCGGAUGUGAAAUCCCCGGGCUCAACCUGGGAACUGCAUUCGAAACUGGCAGGCUAGAGUCUUGUAGAGGGGGGUAGAAUUCCAGGUGUAGCGGUGAAAUGCGUAGAGAUCUGGAGGAAUACCGGUGGCGAAGGCGGCCCCCUGGACAAAGACUGACGCUCAGGUGCGAAAGCGUGGGGAGCAAACAGGAUUAGAUACCCGUGUAGUC
This 465-nucleotide ribosomal RNA is filed under the name uncultured Klebsiella sp. RNAcentral describes it as "bacterial SSU rRNA". It matches the Rfam family "Bacterial small subunit ribosomal RNA", at positions 338 to 795 of the family's 1533-position model. Lineage: Bacteria; Pseudomonadati; Pseudomonadota; Gammaproteobacteria; Enterobacterales; Enterobacteriaceae. The record is from RNAcentral.